UUUAACUGCAGGUAAGGAUAACCUAUACUGCGUACUCGUGAAAACCGAAUUAACGUUUAAACGACUUGUAAAGUCGUCGGACAUGAGGAAAAGCUGUCACAUCAAGUGAUGGCUUUUUUAUUUUGAGA
The submitters of this non-coding RNA (128 nucleotides) gave its source as unclassified sequences. The record is from Rfam.